AAAACGGCCCUUUUAAGGGCCUAAAACAAACUAGGGCAUAUUUU
This is a non-coding RNA of Macrostomum lignano, 44 nucleotides long. Lineage: Eukaryota; Metazoa; Platyhelminthes; Macrostomidae. The record is from Rfam.